CCUGGCUGGGGGUGGGGCCUGGAACCGGGAGCGCUGGUCAGCCGAGCCGGAGCGGCCGCGGGGGAAGAGCGUCGCGGGCGGCCUAGAGGAGGUGAACGUGAGGUGAGGCUAGGCGGGCGGAGGUGGACGUGAGGCGAAGUGAGACGAGGGCGUGCGGGGCCCCGCCGGAGGAUGUGCGGCCGAACCUCCUGUCACCUGCCCAUAGAUGUGCUCGCGAGAGCGUGUGCCUAUCGGGACCGGCAGGGCCGGGAGCGGCUCCCCGAGUGGAAGGACCCCGACAAGUACUGCCCCUCUUACAACACGAGCCCUCAGUCGAACAGCCCCGUGCUCUUGUCACGUCUGCACUUUGAGAAGGGUGCAGACCCAUCUGAGCGUAUCAUUGCUCCCAUGCGAUGGGGCUUGGUCCCAUCUUGGUUCAAAGAGGAUGAUCCUUCCAAACUUCAGUUCAACACUACCAACUGUCGUAGUGAUACCAUAAUGGAGAAACGGUCCUUCAAGGUCCCUCUUGGAAAGGGAAGACGCUGUGUCGUCUUAGCAGAUGGAUUCUAUGAGUGGCAGAGACGUCAGGGAACAAGCCACAAGCAGCCGUACUUCAUCUAUUUUCCCCAAGCCAAAACAGAAGAGUCAGGUAGCACUGAUGUUGUAGAGAGUCCUGAGCACUGGAAGAAAGUCUGGAACAACUGGAGGCUGCUGACAAUGGCGGGGAUCUUUGACUGCUGGGAGCCCCCAGAAGGAGGAGACCUCCUGUAUUCCUACACCAUCAUCACAGUAGAUUCCUGCAAAAGCUUGAAUGACAUUCACCCUAGGAUGCCUGCCAUAUUAGAUGGAGAGGAGGAAGUCUCUAAAUGGCUUGACUUUGGUGAGGUCUCAACUCAGGAAGCUCUGAAGUUAAUCCACCCCACAGAGAAUAUCACCUUCCAUGCAGUCUCUUCCGUGGUGAACGACUCCGGGAACAAUACUCCUGAAUGUGUGACUCCUAUCAGCCUACUGGUCAAAAAGGGUGGGCCGCAAGGUGGAUUCUGGCCAGAUUUGGAAGGAAGCCAUCGUUGUGGUUGCUGAUCUGCUGAUUUACCUCCUUGGUGUGAGGCAGCACCAAUGACGACUUUCCCUGGAUUCUCCUUCGGUCUUGCUGACUCAGGGGUGUGCAUGGUUAACUCUGACAAAGGGUCUCAGCUUCCACAGGGUACCGUCAUCGCCUAGGUCAGAGGCACCGGGAACCAACACAACAAGUUGGUCUGUCCUGGCGUUCCAGCUUGUGCGGAUUCAGCCUGCUCACGAGCUUCCCCUCCUGCCUGGGCACCUCCGGCUCCAGCCUCUGUCACGGUGAUCCAGCCUCCUGGAAACUGUUUCAUCGGCCCCACAAGUGUGCAAGCCAGUUCCCUGUAACCGAUCCGGUGUAUGGGUGUGUCAGUGCCACUAGCCCUCCGGUUCUGCUUCCCCACCGAAUUCUGACUGAGCGGGGACCCUGAAGCCCUGCUGACUCCUGCCUCGUGCCUGUCAGUGUACCUGCUGCUUUCACCGUUCCCCAGACUCAGGAGCUUUUGUCACACUGGGGGCCUGUGUCAUUGCUGCUCCCGCCUGGACUGUCGAUCCCCCAGAGCUGCCAGUUUGUGUGUCCUGUGCAUCCUCCUCAAGAACAGGAAGCAGAUCCCUGCCUCCUCAGCCAGUGUGUGCUCAAUGAGUGACCAUGGACUAGGCCAUACGAAAGACCCCAGGGCCUCUUUGUUGCCUCAGGACUAAUGGAGCUGCUAGUACAGCUAAUGGGCCCUCUGGCUGUGUCACCCGAAGUCUGAUGCCUGGGACAGAGGGAUGGCAGCACCCCUCCACCCCCGACCUUGUGCUGAGUGCUCAAGCCCCUCACCCCCAUCAGGUUCUGUGCUCAGUACUAAGCCUUGCCCUGGCAGAGGGACAGAUUCAGCUAGGUUGUUCAGUCAGUGGAGACCCCAUCCUGUGGUCACUAAGGCCUGCGCUGCCUGCAAAGGGGCCUUUCCAGUGUCUUCAAGGCUGUCCUGGGCCCAGGGAGAAGUUGCAUCUAGGGACCCAGAAGGCAGACCUGAGUACCACCCCCUCCGCCUGAGGAGAUAAAAGGGAGGCAGGUCCCAGCCCCACGAGAGGAAGAAGGGAGGGAAAUCCUGGAGACCCCGGCCAUAGGCAGUGUGUUUGGACCCCCUGGUUAACAGAUGGGCGAAGUCCUCCGCAGAGGCUCGUGCAAGUCUGGCGGCCCUGAGCUGGGUGGGGUCCAGUGUCGCGGGUGAGGAGGAGGCGCCGGACGGUCUUUCUUGAAGCCAAAGAAGCCUCUGCUUGGGGAAGCUGAGACCAUGGGGAGACACCCAGAGAGGAGAGCUGAUCCCUUUGGGGUUCCGGAAAUGCAAAGUGUGUGCAGGCUGGGCUGCUUGGAGGAUGCAGUGCAGUGACCGAGAAGCAGGAAGACGGAGCUGCUGCGGCCCCCUGAGGAGUGUCUGUCCAGGAACAGGAGCCAUCCAAGAAUGAGCAGAGGGCACGCCGGGGGAGGUGGGCAUGGCGGCCCUACCCGGUGGCCCAGGGUACAUGGAGAUGGGGCAGGAACAGGGACACCGGAAAGAGAGCCGGCCCAAGGAAAUCAGGUGGAGGGGGGUAGCCAGGUGCCUAGCCUAGAGAGGCUCGAGCUUGGGGCUCUAAAGGUCAGAGCAAGAGCAGAGGGUGACGCCCCUGGUGGAACCCCGGCAUGGGCCGCAGGGACAUCCUCAGACUGAAAUUUGCCCAGCCAUUCCAGGAGAGAAGGUUGCUGGAAAUGUGAAUCUGGAGCAGGCUGGGUCAGGGGUGUCUUCCCUAGGGUCAUCGCGCAGGGAAAAGGAGGAUGUGGAAAUGGUAGAAAAGGGAGGGGUGCUCCACUGGAGACAGAGGAAGAACGGUCAGAGAGGGAGGAGGAAACCAGGUGUGGCAGGUGUCACGGAAGCUAAGGAAGAGAGAGUUUCAAGAAACAAGGGCUGGUCGGUCACCGUGCAGCCCCUUCAGAAAGUGGAUCAGUCUAUCAGAAUGGACGGGUGAGCUUCCGGCCCUUGAGACCCCCUGGCUGGAAUCUGCCUGGUUUGCCCCGUGGUUUUUAAAAGACCAGGAUUAAAAAAAUCAGGUGAUUUCGGGUAAAAAUGUGUCCAGACUUCAGCUUUCCCUUCAAAAAAUCUGAGGACUCACCCUGGGUGGGGGCAGAAAGAACAGGGCCUGAGUUAACAGUUUUUCUGCUAGAUGGGCUAGACCCCCAACACCUGGUCAGUUUAGGGAGUGUGGGCAGUGUGGGGCAGAGGGAAGGUUCUCCAGCCCUGGGGGAGGCCUGGCCAGGGUUGGAGGGGAGAAGGAACCAGUGGAGGGAGUGAAUACAUACAGGCAGGGCAGUGUGGCCCAGGCGGUGGGGAGGGUGCAGAAGGCACGGCUCAGAGUCCACACCGGCCCUAGUGGGCUCCUUGGCCUGCUGGUGGAGCAGGUGCUUGUGUGGGGGAGGGGAGCACUGCCUGUGGACCUGUAGACCAGGGCUCUGGGAGACUAAUAAUUCUAGGGCUUUGGGAACUGCCAGAGACGCAAGUGGUUUCAUCCCACUGGCCUCGUUAUACAGAUGAGGACACUGAGGCCUGGGGCUAACUGGAUGUCCAUUUAGCCAGGAUUCUAGGCCUGUGGUGCUGCCAGCCUUCAGGGAUGCUUCUCAAACCCCAUACCUCCCAAACAGCUCCCCACCCCCAUCACCCCUCUAUGGAAACGUAGGUGGGGAAGGCCUCAAGCAAACCAAUGAAACAUGACAAAAUUUGGAAAAAGAAACAUAUGGAAGUGGCCAGGGCCCCUCUCUCUCUCUCUCUCUCUCUCUCUCUCUCUAGUUGAGCUCAUCCAAUCCUGGAGCUCCAAACACCAUCCAUACCCUGCUGACCCCCGUUUCUGUCAGCCCUCAUUUCUGUCUCUCUCCUGACCAAAGGACUCUGGCAUCCAGCCGCCUGCCGCGGCCUCCACUGGGAUGUCCAGACACAUCUCUUCUGCGUCCUGGCUAAAACAGAACUCGGUUUUUUUCUCUUGCAAACCUGCUCCUCUCCCCAAGGUUCCCAGGCAGUCCUAGCCCCAAAGCAUAGACUCGCCCUGUUUUUUUUUUUUUCCCUCUACCCUCUCAUUCACCCCAUAGUUUCCUGUUACAGCUACCCCCAAACAGGUUCCUUCCCAAGCCCACCCCCACGCUCUCCAGUCCUCUCCAUUCAGCAGCAGGCAGAGCAGCUGAUGUGAAGUCUGAUCCCCUGCUUCCCACCUCUGUUGAGAAGGCCUCCAGUGGCUUUUCAUCAGACUUAAGACUUGAGUCUGCACUCAGCCACACUGGCCUUUUUUUUUUUUUUUUUUUAAUGUUUAUUUUUUUGAGAGAGACAGUGUGAGCCAGGGAGGGGCAGAGAGAGAGAGAGAGAGAGGGAGACACAGAAUCUGAAGCAGGCUCCAGUCUCUGAGCUGUCAGCACAAAGCCUGACGCGGGGCUUGAACUCACGAACUGGGAGAUCAUGACCGGAGCUGAAGUCGGAUGCUUAACCCACUGAGCCACCCAGGCGCCCCUACACUGGGCCUUUGUGUUCCUCACACAGACCCAGGGGACUCCCACCUCAGGGCCUUUGAACUUGCUGUGCUGCUGACUGCCUUUAUUUCGAUUGCAAUCCAUGGAUACCCUCCUCUUCAGGGCAGCCUCCGCGCCAGCCUGGCUGAAGUACCUGUAUCACAUCAUCCUGCUUUAUCAUCCUCUGAUCAUGUGCUUACCAUCAUCAUCUGACCCUAUUCUUAUUUGCUUGUGUAAAACUGUAAGAACAGAGUGGGGCCUGCCUUGCUCCCUGCCAGAUCCUAGCCCUGGCCACACCCUGCCUGCUGGGUACCCCUGUUCAUUGCUGUCUGUACUGCAGCCAACGGGGAGAUGGACCGGAGCCAUGAGCUCCUGGUUUGACCUGGACCCUGGGCACUCCCCCAGACCUCUUGUGCCACCCACGGCCCCCCACCCCCCACUGCUCUGCCUCGGUUCCCCAGUUUGUGAAAAAGGGUUGGAUGUGUGCAGUUUGAACGACCCUCCUCCAGCUUUGGCAGUCUGAGUCUGGACAGCCAAACCGAGAUGUCCUCAAGAGAAGGGAGGACCCAGAAGAACACAGCCUGCCUGGAGGAUGGGACAUAAAACGGAGAUCUUGGUGUCAGCAGAGGAGUCUGCUGGGCCUGAUGGCAAGUCUGGGUCUAGGAUGCAAAACCCCGGGCUCUGGGCAGGUUCCCUCCUGUGCUUCUGUCAGCCUCAGUGUCAUCUGUAAAAGGGGUACACACACUAGAGCUCGGAUGGAGGCACCUUCCCCUGGGAGGGUUUCAGAAGACCUGCGUGGGAGUCACCAGCCUCAGGGAUGGGGUUCAGAGACCCUGCCCCCUGAGGGCCCUUCACCCGGAAAGGCCUCAUUGGCUUGAGCCGGCUGCAGAGAGUUAACAGUUGAAGGCCAAAGAAUCGGUCUCCCCAAAAAGGGUUUUUAACUGAGAGGUUGGCUCCAGCCUAGGCCUGGGCUGGGAGGGAGGGUGGCUGGGCCCAGUUUGGGAUUUUAAAUGUAAAUAGAGAGGCAUUAAGUACUUUUCAGCAUUUAAGUGGAGACAAAGGGAAAUUCACCAGGCGAGACGGUGGGGAAGGUUGCCUUUAAGAUGCAAAUGUGUAUUGUGAAACCCUGAAUGGGGACGUUGUUCGGGGCCCUGGCCCCUAGCCCCUUGUGGCCGGGCAGUGGGCUCCGAGGGGUCCGUGGGUCAGACGAACCCGGGCAGAGUGGCCAGAGAUCAAAGGAGUGGACAAGUCGCUGCUGACGCUGAAAGGGUGCGAAACGUGGGGACCGAGAGAGCUUGGAGUUCCCGGAGGCCCCGCUUGCAGGGAGCCUGCUGGCCCCCCAGGCCCCAGUGGGGCGUAAAGGAAGAGCCGGGUGGAAUGGGAUAGGCCAGGGGGCAGGCUCUGAAGUGCAGGUGGCCCAUGCUUAGGGCACCGGCAAAGCAUGAGCCCCACGAAGGGUUCUAAUGCAGUACGCAUUGUUUUAAGAAUGGAGGUAAGUAGUUCUCGUGGAAGAAACCAGACCUUCGUGGAACUUCACACAGCUUCGUGCCGUUUUCAUUCGGAAUGGCAUUAAGGGAGAAGGGAUGGCAGGACCGCGUGCACACGUCUGCAUUUGGCCUUUAGGGGAGCCUUCACCCCAGGCACCUGCGGACCAUGGGUGUCGAGUAAGAAUCCCCAACCACUAGAGAUAAGGCCGCGAGGGUGAAAGAAUUGAGGGUGAUGGGAGAUUUGAACCUGUCUCCAGGAGCCAGCCGCCCCCUCCGUCCGUCCUCCAAAAGCAGGAAGGCUGCGGGACCCAGCAGCGGGCACAGGAGGAAAGGGGGGUGGGGGCCCAGCCUGCCCCGGCGCUGCCAGCAAUCUCGCUGCCCUUCCCCAGGCCGCCUUGCCCCUCCCCCCAGUUCUUUAAAAGCUGUUAGUUUUUUCUCAAUAAAGUUGUUCGUGGUAUAAAACCCAA
Acinonyx jubatus (cheetah) is the source of this 6503-nucleotide RNA transcript. It is a transcript of the gene named 5-hydroxymethylcytosine binding, ES cell specific, with no coding region annotated. The record is from RefSeq and is a predicted model, not a curated record. The transcript is spliced from 9 exons. Lineage: Eukaryota; Metazoa; Chordata; Mammalia; Carnivora; Felidae.